CAGCACCUCAAGUGGUCAGGAUGAUUAUUGGGCCUAAAGCCUCCGUAGCCGGCUCUGUAAGUUUUCGGUUAAAUCUGUACGCUCAACGUACAGGCUGCCGGGAAUACUGCAGAGCUAGGGAGUGGGAGAGGUAGACGGUACUCGGUAGGAAGGGGUAAAAUCCUUUGAUCUAUUGAUGACCACCUGUGGCGAAGGCGGUCUACCAGAACACGUCCGACGGUGAGGGAUGAAAGCUGGGGGAGCAAACCGGAUUAGAUACCCGUGUAGUCC
This 270-nucleotide ribosomal RNA is filed under the name uncultured archaeon. Its description in RNAcentral is "partial 16S ribosomal RNA". It matches the Rfam family "Archaeal small subunit ribosomal RNA", at positions 477 to 747 of the family's 1478-position model. The record is from RNAcentral.